RNAcentral lists this ribosomal RNA (461 nucleotides) under Weissella confusa. Its description in RNAcentral is "bacterial SSU rRNA". It matches the Rfam family "Bacterial small subunit ribosomal RNA", at positions 338 to 795 of the family's 1533-position model. The record is from RNAcentral. Lineage: Bacteria; Bacillati; Bacillota; Bacilli; Lactobacillales; Lactobacillaceae.
CCUACGGGGGGCUGCAGUCGAGAAUCUUCGGCAAUGGGCGCAAGCCUGACCGAGCGACGCCGCGUGCGGGAUGAAGGCCUUCGGGUUGUAAACCGCUGUCAUAGGGGAGGAAAUGCGGUGGGGUUCUCCCCUCGUUUGACCUAUUCUAGGAGGAAGGACGGGCUAAGUUCGUGCCAGCAGCCGCGGUAAGACGAACCGCCCAAACGUUAUUCGGAAUCACUGGGCUUAAAGGGUGCGUAGGCGGCGCCGUAAGUCGGGUGUGAAAUCCCUCGGCUCAACCGAGGAAUUGCGCCCGAUACUGCAGUGCUUGAGGGAGACAGAGGUAAGCGGAACUGAUGGUGGAGCGGUGAAAUGCGUUGAUAUCAUCAGGAACACCGGUGGCGAAAGCGGCUUACUGGGUCUCUUCUGACGCUGAGGUACGAAAGCUAGGGGAGCGAACGGGAUUAGAUACCCUUGUAGUC